GCGUCCGUAGCUCAGUUGGCAGAGCAGUGGGAAAGCUCCCCAACGUCCUGGGUUCAAUUCACGGCGGUCGCC
This is a non-coding RNA of Phthorimaea operculella (potato tuberworm), 72 nucleotides long. The record is from the annotation of a GenBank genome assembly. Lineage: Eukaryota; Metazoa; Arthropoda; Insecta; Lepidoptera; Gelechiidae.